This 481-nucleotide ribosomal RNA is filed under the name uncultured bacterium. Its description in RNAcentral is "partial 16S ribosomal RNA". It matches the Rfam family "Bacterial small subunit ribosomal RNA", at positions 28 to 507 of the family's 1533-position model. The record is from RNAcentral.
GAUGAACGCUGGCGGCGUGCUUAACACAUGCAAGUCGAACGAAGCAUUUGCGACAGAUUUUUUCGGAAUGAAGUUGCUUAUGACUGAGUGGCGGACGGGUGAGUAACGCGUGGGUAACCUGCCUUGUACUGGGGGAUAGCAGCUGGAAACGGCUGGUAAUACCGCAUAAGCGCACAAUGUUGCAUGACAUGGUGCUAAAAACUCCGGUGGUAUAAGAUGGACCCGCGUCUGAUUAUAUAGUUGGUGAGAUAACAGCCCACCAAGGCGACGAUCAGUAGCCGAGAUGAGAGGGUGAGCGGCCACAUUGGGACUGAGACACGGCCGAGACUCCUACGGGAGGGAGCAGUGGGGAAUAUUGCACAAUGGAGGAAACUCUGAUGCAGCGACGACGCGUGAGUGAAGAAGUAAUUCGUUAUGUAAAGCUCUAGCAGCAAGGAAGAUAGUGACGGUACCUGACUAAGAAGCUACGGCUAAAUACGUG